GUUCCGGCCAGCUCUCGGGGUGUGCGUCAGAUGCGUAGAUGAUGUUUUGGUGGUCUGGGAGGAUGAGAGCGGGGUUGCUGAUCUUGAAGGUGCCUUCGCGCUCCCGGAGUGUGGAUUGGGGUUGGAUAGAGCACGGAUGGGCCGGGAAGGUAUGGGUUUCCUCGACAUGGACAUCCAUCUGGGGAGGGCCGAGCUGUCAACAACCGUGUGUGGGGGGCCGCAGUGCCAACCGAUAGUUGUACCGAAUUGGUCGCCGGACCCGGUAUCGUUUGGGAGAGCGGCCUUUGGAGCCUUCUUUGGACGUGCUUACAUAUAUUGUACAGAGCGGGGUGACCUGGAGAGUGGGC
RNAcentral lists this long non-coding RNA (347 nucleotides) under Androctonus crassicauda. The record is from RNAcentral. Lineage: Eukaryota; Metazoa; Arthropoda; Arachnida; Scorpiones; Buthidae.